Molecule: ribosomal RNA, 379 nt
Filed under: uncultured eukaryote
Lineage: Eukaryota
Description: partial 18S ribosomal RNA
Rfam family: Eukaryotic small subunit ribosomal RNA
Source: RNAcentral
CAAUAGCGUAUAUUAAAGUUGUUGCGGUAAAAAAGCUCGUAGUUGGAUUUCUGCGGGGAACGACCGGUCCACUCAACGAGUGCGUAUCUGGUUCGGUCUCUGCAUCCUCUCGAAAGACGUUUCUGCGCUUGAUUGCGUGGUUCGGAUCUCGGGACUUUUACUUUGAGGAAAUUAGAGUGUUCACGGCAGGCUAUCGCCAGAAUACAUUAGCAUGGAAUAAUACUAUAGGAUCUGAAUCUUAUUUUGUUGGUUCCUUUGAUUUAGAUAAUGACUAAUAGGGACAAUUGGGGGCAUUCGUAUGAUGACGUCAGAGGUGGAAUUCUUAGAUUGUCAUCCGACGAACGACUGCGAAAGCAUUUGCCAAGGAUGUUUUCAUUGA